Molecule: long non-coding RNA, 1311 nt
Organism: Stegostoma tigrinum
Lineage: Eukaryota; Metazoa; Chordata; Chondrichthyes; Orectolobiformes; Stegostomatidae
Exons: 4
Source: RefSeq, a predicted model, not a curated record
UUGCUGUCUGCUGCAGUUGUUGUACUUACUUUCUCCCAUUCUUCUACAUGCCAGCUAUAAUGCAAACAUUCGCCUGUUUGACAGUGUUGAACCGAAACAGGUUUUGCAGAUUGACUGCAGUGAGAAUCUUCAAGACUGUGGUUUGCGAUCUGGCAGAAGACUUCUCGUUGCUGAAUUCCACUUCCACAUAAGGCUGAGCACUGCCAAAUUUGCAAAGCAGUGAGAGGCCAGGAUGCCAUCAGCUACAACUCAAAAGCACCACUCAACAGAGAAUCAAGCAUCAAUACAGCUUCCAGACAGUACUGUCAUCUCAAUCACAUCAGGAUAUGGAUAUUGAUGGGAAGAGAAAAAAAAAGACACACCAACCACUGGCACCUGGGACAAGACACAAUCUGGAGUCUCAGGGAGAGUUGCAAAGUGGUGGUAAGUUGUCUUCUUGAAACACUGCAAGUCCAUGUGCUGUUAGUAUGUUCAGCACCACUUCUGACUUCCCAGAUGCCAAAAGGUCUAUGUUCAAAUGCAGCAAGACCAGGACAAUAUCCAGGCUGAGAUUUUGUCAUCAAUACAAAGCAACAAGAUGGGCCCUGACCUUGGAAGAAAAUUGAGCUCGUUGGUUGAGUGAACUCUGCUGUAAGUUUGUAAAUGGCUCCAAGUCAAGGGAUCUUCAUGCACCCAGCAACAACAACAUCAAGCAAGGAAGCAGCCAAGCACAUUCACUUGGUCUCCCAUACAAGAAACCACAAAUUUAAAAUACAGCAAAUUUUUAUUCUUAAUUACUAUUUUUGUGAAAACAGAGUAAAAAUAAAUGAUUAGAAGAUUAGUACGGGAUUAUGGCAACAACUGAAGUACGGUAAGCAAACUUAAAAAAGAAAGAAAGAAAUUGAAUUGCUUCCAAUUACAGAAAUUUCAUAUUCCACAAUUUUAAAUUAGAUUUUCAGGUUGAUUUACAGCUGUUCAGCAAUAAUAAUGAAUUUAUUACACUCUUUAAAGACCUGGUUAAACCUCAUUUAACAAGGUCUAAGGGAUUUUACAGUUGAACUAACAGGGUAAAAGGCUACCCUUUCCCCAUUCAGUGAUUUCUUCUUAAUUGCAUUGCAUCUUCAGGAAAAGCACUGAAUCACUGCUUGUAACUUUAGGAUCUCCAAAUUUAAGCAUACAUAAGCUGAUUCCAGAUGUUGCUGCCAGCUUCGGUGAGCGAAUGAUGGUUAAUGCUAAAGAUUCACUGUUUGCACCACUAUCACAAAAACAAGGGCAUUGUUUGAGAAAAACCAAAAGAACUGCAAAUGCUGUAAAUCUGGAACAAAAAUAAAG